Molecule: long non-coding RNA, 881 nt
Organism: Canis lupus familiaris (dog)
Lineage: Eukaryota; Metazoa; Chordata; Mammalia; Carnivora; Canidae
Exons: 3
Source: RefSeq, a predicted model, not a curated record
GAGCACACACGGGCUGACUUCUUCCUUCUAAGAGGAGCUUCAUUUAUUUUUUUAUUUUCUUUGUCCCUGAAAAAGAAAAUGGGAAGGUGGCAAGGCAGGGGUGCAAAUCCCCUCUAAACAAAUGCCUCCGAUGUCAUCACCGUGGCUGCUCAGGCACUCGACCCUUUCUCUUCCGUUCCCUGGAUCCCGCUGAAGGCUAAAGAAGCCGGGGAGCUGAUGGCUGCUGAGGACUGCUCCUGCAGGGACCCUCGAUUCUCGUCGCUCCCUUAAAAAAAUGGGUUACGUCUACUUCCAUGUAUUUCCAAACUCUGAGACCUGUGAAGAGGUGAACGUUCUCCACCUGGACUUCGAUGAGCUGCUGUCCCUUCCUGGUUUAUGCCCAAACUCCCGGCUUCCCAGCCUGCUCACUGCUGCCAGCCCAGCUCCCCGAAGACCCUCCCCAGAGGUUCCAGGCAUGUGCUGGGAGGGCCCACCUCCAGAGCUGCUCUUGAGCCCCCCCUCGAACGUGGCUGUGGGGUCAGUCAGAGAGGGAUACAGCAUGAAGCCAACUGACCACACCAACUGGCGGGUGACGUCUUUGGAAUCUCAAAUCCAGUAACCUGCUCUGCAAGUAUUAAUACAAACUACAGAUACUUUUUUAGGGGGUGUUUUAAAGGCUUAAGUCCUAAAACAUCAAUUUCUCAAUGACCUUUCCAGAUUACAUUAUAAUGACAUGAAGCCAAAGGAACCGACAGGCAGUUCCAGCUUCUGGUAAAACCUGUAUUUUUAUGGCCGUUAGUGGCCUUUCUUUCAGCUCUGGAUUCAUUCAUUGCCCAUCUGUCCAUCCACAUUCCUGUUUCUGGUUUCCUCAAAUAACAAUGAUGGAAUGAUUAAUCUCUAAA